This 233-nucleotide ribosomal RNA is filed under the name uncultured Candidatus Saccharibacteria bacterium. RNAcentral's name for it is "partial 16S ribosomal RNA". It matches the Rfam family "Bacterial small subunit ribosomal RNA", at positions 584 to 818 of the family's 1533-position model. The record is from RNAcentral. Lineage: Bacteria; Candidatus Saccharimonadota.
UAAGCAGGUAGUGAAAUUGUGUGGCUCAACCAUACACCCAUUAUCUGAACUGCUCAGCUUGAGCAUGGAAGAGGUAGCUGGAAUUUCUAGUGUAGGAGUGAAAUCCGUAGAUAUUAGAAGGAACACCGAUGGCGUAGGCAGGCUACUGGUCCAUUGCUGACACUAAGGCACGAAAGCGUGGGAGCGAACGGGAUUAGAUACCCGGUAGUCCACGCCGUAAACGAUGGAUGCUA